AAAAAUGGUCUAGCAACGCCUUAUACAUUGACGCGCGAAUAGGUCAUUACACAGCCGUAGUUAUUGGAUCUAAUCCUACUUGGAUACCUGCGGUAAUUCUAGAGCUAAUACACGCAAAAAGCCUGAACCUCUGGGACGGGUGCAUUUAUUAAAACAAAACCAAUCAGCCCUGCCGUCAUUUGGAGAAUCUGAAUAACUCAUCUGAUCGCACGGUCUUGUACCGGCGACAUGUCUUUCAAGUGUCUGCCUUAUCAACUUUCGAUGGUAGUUUAUGUGCCUACCAUGGUUGCAACGGGUAACGGGGAAUGGGGCGGGGGCGGCGGGCCGGGCGCGGGGCGCGGCGGGCGAGAC
RNAcentral lists this ribosomal RNA (351 nucleotides) under uncultured eukaryote. RNAcentral's name for it is "bacterial SSU rRNA". It matches the Rfam family "Eukaryotic small subunit ribosomal RNA", at positions 57 to 374 of the family's 1831-position model. The record is from RNAcentral.